GCCAUUUCUAAAAUAAGAAUUCAGCCCUUUGAGAAUGAGCUUGAUUUCAAAGCAAUAUAAAAUGGUGAUGUGGCUGUCCAUGUUACAAUUGAUAAUAUCGCGUCCUUAUGUUUGUAUGAAAUAAAACAAAACAGCUAGGCCUAUAGCUGGCCUGCCUAUAGGGCACAGAGGCUUCAUUUACAAUCUUAAAAAGGAUUGUUAAGAGAUCCCGCCUCGUUCAGUGUGGUGAGUUGGCUUAGAGGCUAUGUGAGUUUAAUACAUGGCAGGAACUGGAUUACAUUAAGAGGUUGGUUCUUAAGAUCACAAAAAAAGGACCUGAGCCCUAGGACCAUGUCCCCAGUCCACCUGGUCUUGCUGCUGCUCCAGUUUCAACUGUUCUGCCUGCGGCUAUGGAACCCUGACUUGUUCACCGGACGUGCUACCUGUCCCAGACCUGUUGUUUUCAACUCUCUAGAGACUGCAGGAGCGGUAGAGAUACUCUGAAUGAUCGACUAUGAAAAGCCAACUGACAUUUAUUCCUGAGGUGCUGACCCGUUGCGCCCUCUACAACCACUGUGAUUCUUAUUAUUUGACCCAGCUGGUCAUCUAUGAACAUUUGAACAUCUUGGCCAUGUUCUGUUAUAAUCUCCACCCGGCACAGCCAGAAGAGGACUGGCUACCCCUCAUAGCCUGGUUCCUCUCUAGGUUUCUUCCUAGGUUCUGGCCUUUCUAGGGAGUUUUUCCUAGCCAUGGUGCUUCUACACCUGCAUUGCAUGCUGUUUGGGGUUUUAGGCUGGUUUUCUGUACAGCACUUUGUGACAUCAGCUGACGUAAGAAAGGCUUUAUAAAUACAUUUGAUUGAUUUGAUGUCUCAAUUGUCUCAAGGCUUAAAAAUCAUUCUUCCCUUCAUCUACACUGAUUCUAGUGGAUUUAACAAGUGACAACAAUAAGGGAUCAUAACUUUCACCUGGAAUCACAUGGUCAGUCUAUGUCAUGGAAAUAGAGGCUAUUCCUAAUAUUUUGUACACUCAGUAUAUGUAGGCCUAUAUCUAACUAUUAUUUCAUCCUGUAUGUAUGAGACUUUUGAAGUAGCCCAUAUGAGGCCACAUGAAAAUAUGGAAAAUGCAAAACGUUUAGGUUAUUUGGAGUGUUGGACAGUGUUAUACACUUAGACCUCAAAGUUCCAAUCUGGUUUUAACAAAAUACAUGUUACACUAUUCAAUUGCUUGAGGACGUCAAAUUGCUGCACUCCAGAUGUCAAAUUGGGGCUGCUUUUCCAUUUCAAUUAGCCUACAGCAAAUUAAUUAUAAUAGUAUGAUCAUUCAUAUAAAGCGUAUCCAAUACAGA
Long non-coding RNA from Oncorhynchus nerka (sockeye salmon), 1326 nucleotides. RefSeq lists it as uncharacterized. The record is from RefSeq and is a predicted model, not a curated record. The transcript is spliced from 2 exons. NCBI's taxonomy places the organism in Eukaryota, Metazoa, Chordata, Actinopteri, Salmoniformes, Salmonidae.